UGGCGCACGGGUGCGUAACGCGUGGGAAUCCGCCCCUUGGUUCGGAAUAACAGUUAGAAAUGACUGCUAAUACCGGAUGAUGUCUUCGGACCAAAGAUUUAUCGCCAAGGGAUGAGCCCGCGUAGGAUUAGCUAGUUGGUGAGGUAAAAGCUCACCAAGGCGACGAUCCUUAGCUGGUCUGAGAGGGUGAUCAGCCACACUGGGACUGAGACACGGCCCAG
RNAcentral lists this ribosomal RNA (221 nucleotides) under uncultured bacterium. RNAcentral describes it as "partial 16S ribosomal RNA". It matches the Rfam family "Bacterial small subunit ribosomal RNA", at positions 96 to 334 of the family's 1533-position model. The record is from RNAcentral.